RNAcentral lists this ribosomal RNA (497 nucleotides) under uncultured bacterium. RNAcentral describes it as "partial 16S ribosomal RNA". It matches the Rfam family "Bacterial small subunit ribosomal RNA", at positions 28 to 506 of the family's 1533-position model. The record is from RNAcentral.
GACGAACGCUGGCGGCGUGCCUAAUACAUGCAAGUCGAGCGGACGGAUGGGAGCUUGCUCCCAGACCGUCAGCGGCGGACGGGUGAGUAACACGUGGGCAACCUGCCUGUAAGACUGGGAUAACUCCGGGAAACCGGGGCUAAUACCGGAUAACUCUUUCCCUCACAUGAGGGAAAGCUGAAAGAUGGCAUCUCGCUAUCACUUACAGAUGGGCCCGCGGCGCAUUAGCUAGUUGGUGAGGUAACGGCUCACCAAGGCGACGAUGCGUAGCCGACCUGAGAGGGUGAUCGGCCACACUGGGACUGAGACACGGCCCAGACUCCUACGGGAGGCAGCAGUAGGGAAUCUGCCGCAAUGGACGAAAGUCUGACGGAGCAACGCCGCGUGAGUGAUGAAGGUUUUCGGAUCGUAAAACUCUGUUGUCAGGGAAGAACAAGUACCGGAGUAACGGCCGGUACCUUGACGGUACCUGACCAGAAAGCCACGGCUAACUACGU